This 31-nucleotide non-coding RNA is filed under the name Macaca fascicularis (crab-eating macaque). RNAcentral also lists the same sequence under 1 other name. The record is from RNAcentral. Lineage: Eukaryota; Metazoa; Chordata; Mammalia; Primates; Cercopithecidae.
UGGACAGGUGGAUUGAUGAGACUCCUCCAGU